Long non-coding RNA from Mangifera indica (mango), 719 nucleotides. RefSeq lists it as uncharacterized. The record is from RefSeq and is a predicted model, not a curated record. The transcript has 2 exons. NCBI's taxonomy places the organism in Eukaryota, Viridiplantae, Streptophyta, Magnoliopsida, Sapindales, Anacardiaceae.
CUGCAUUUGCGAUCAUUGGAUUUUGCGUCAGCAGUGCUCAUAAAACUAGUUCAAAGGGCUUUUGUCAGCACUGAAGUUGUAAGAAGGACGUAACUGAAGUUAAGUUACUUCAUUGACCCUCUUAAGUCAAGGAGUUCGAUAUCUUUGUCUAUUUCAGUAAUUUCAUCUCUCAGCGAGUUAGGGUUUGAGGAAACCACUAUAAAUAAAUUUACUCAGUGGCUGCUGAAAAUCAUCUUAUGCCUGCUCUGUCUAUACUCUGGGUUUCAAUGGCUACCACGCCGUCAAAUGGUUCUACAGAGCAGUUUAUGUUUUAGUUUCGACUCCAUUCAUAAUGGAGCCUGGAGGGAAUGUGAAUCUUUCUUGAAGAACAACUUUGGUAAUCAAAUUUAUUCGUCUUCUUUUGCGUUAUUUCCUUCUGGGCAUCGAUUGUUGCAGGGUGUUUUGCUCAGAUUGGGCUGCUUGUCUGUACUGCCUUGGUAAGUGUGCUAUCCAAGAACUACUCGGAAGGGCAAUCCAAACCAAGACACAUUGAUUUUCAAAACAAAAUUGCCAGAGGCUAAGACUUUGUUUAUGAAAUCCAAUUUCUAUAGAAAUGGAUUGAUUAAGGAUUGGAUAUUCAUUAGAGUUUAACUUCCAUGAAUGCACUUUUCCAGAGAAUUAAACUUUCCUGAAACCAAAGUAUAAUAUAUUAACAAAUAUUAAACAUCCAUUACAAAUCA